UACGUAGGGGGCAAGCGUUGUCCGGAUUUAUUGGGCGUAAAGAGCGUGUAGGCGGCCAGAAAGGUCAGCUGUGAAAACUCGAGGCUCAACCUCGAGACGUCGGUUGAAACCAUCUGGCUAGAGUCCGGAAGAGGAGUGUGGAAUUCCCGGUGUAGCGGUGAAAUGCGCAGAUAUCGGGAAGAACACCCGUGGCGAAGGCGGCACUCUGGGACGGUACUGACGCUGAGACGCGAAAGCGUGGGGAGCGAACAGG
RNAcentral lists this ribosomal RNA (253 nucleotides) under uncultured bacterium. RNAcentral's name for it is "partial 16S ribosomal RNA". It matches the Rfam family "Bacterial small subunit ribosomal RNA", at positions 524 to 776 of the family's 1533-position model. The record is from RNAcentral.